This 50-nucleotide ribosomal RNA is filed under the name Melittobia digitata. RNAcentral's name for it is "partial 28S ribosomal RNA". The record is from RNAcentral. Lineage: Eukaryota; Metazoa; Arthropoda; Insecta; Hymenoptera; Eulophidae.
CGACGACCUCAGAGCAGGCGAGACUACCCCCUAAAUUUAAGCAUAAGGGC